GUAGCAGGGCGCAUGCGCAUUCUCCUCCUUGGCACGGGAUGGGGCGAUUUGAAGAGGAGCAUUCACACAGCAAUCUUGCAAGAGAAAGCAGGCCCGACAGCAUCCAAGGAGCAGGAAAAUCGACGUUUCGGGCAAAAGCCCUUCAUCAGGAUUGAAGGCAAGGAUGCCCAGAGGCAUGGUACAUUGGGGAAAUCGAGCAAAGGCUACAACAAUGGAUGAAUGGGCACUGCACAACAAUCAAGAGACAGCAGUGUUCCGUCCCAGUCGGGGAACACUUCAGUGGUCCAGGACAUUCGACCUCGGACCUUCGGGUGACCAUCCUCCAAGGCGGACUUCGGGACAGGCAGCAGCAAAAGGUGGCUGAUAGCUAAGUUCGGUACCCAUAGGGAGGGCCUCAACCGGGACCUUGGGUUCAUGUCACAUUACAGGUCACCACCAUUGUACUAUAAACUCACACUCUCUCACAUACACACAGGCACUCCUACACACAUACACAUGGACACACAUAUACACAGAAGCGGGCACAGACACUCACAAAUACCCUUACAGAUACACAUACUCCCACACUCUCACAUGCACCCCCUCACAGACUUAAGACACUCUGCACUCACUACGCGCGCACGCACACACGCACACUUUCUCACACACUCAACCCCCAACCCAGACAGACAGACACGCACACAGGUAGACAAAAACCGAAAUGCGCACAUCUAU
Molecule: long non-coding RNA, 714 nt
Organism: Hemiscyllium ocellatum (epaulette shark)
Lineage: Eukaryota; Metazoa; Chordata; Chondrichthyes; Orectolobiformes; Hemiscylliidae
Exons: 3
Source: RefSeq, a predicted model, not a curated record